GCGACUAAGCCGAGGGCCCCUGGAUAAGGGUUGUUGAUGGCAAAACAGGUAGAGGAAUGUCUGCGACUAAGCCGAGGGCCACUGGAUAAGGGUUGUUGAUGGCAAAACAGGUAGAGGAAUGUCUGCGACUAAGCCGAGGGCCACUGGAUAAGGGUUGUUGAUGGCAAAACAGGUAGAGGAAUGUCUGCGACUAAGCCGAGGGCCACUGGAUAAGGGUUGUUGAUGGCAAAACAGGUUAAAGACUACAUGAGACUUUGACAGAUGGCGGGAAACCCUCAUCCACUGGUAGAGGAAUGUCUGCGACUAAGCCGAGGGCCACUGGAUAAGGGUUGUUGAUGGCAAAACAGGUUAAAGACUACAUGAGACUUUGACAGAUGGCGGGAAACCCUCAUCCACUGGUACGAACCCGGUAAAUUGAUGGCUGUAAAACAGUGACCGCUGAUUCGCAUCGAGUUCUUUCUUGCAAAACGCAUGACCCCCCUUUUUUAUUGUCUAAAUCAUUGCGGCUUGGAAUGCUCUUUAAGAAAAGGUAUGGUUAUGGGGGUCU
Molecule: long non-coding RNA, 547 nt
Organism: Dreissena polymorpha
Lineage: Eukaryota; Metazoa; Mollusca; Bivalvia; Myida; Dreissenidae
Exons: 7
Source: RefSeq, a predicted model, not a curated record